RNAcentral lists this ribosomal RNA (497 nucleotides) under uncultured bacterium. Its description in RNAcentral is "partial 16S ribosomal RNA". It matches the Rfam family "Bacterial small subunit ribosomal RNA", at positions 28 to 507 of the family's 1533-position model. The record is from RNAcentral.
GAUGAACGCUGGCGGCGUGCCUAAUACAUGCAAGUCGAGCGAACAGACGAGGAGCUUGCUCCUUUGACGUUAGCGGCGGACGGGUGAGUAACACGUGGGUAACCUACCUAUAAGACUGGGAUAACUUCGGGAAACCGGAGCUAAUACCGGAUAAUAUUUCGAACCGCAUGGUUCGAUAGUGAAAGAUGGCUUUGCUAUCACUUAUAGAUGGACCUGCGCCGUAUUGGCUAGUUGGUAAGGUAACGGCUUACCAAGGCAACGAUACGUAGCCGACCUGAGAGGGUGAUCGGCCAAACUGGAACUGAGACACGGUACAGACGCCUACGGGAGGAAGCAGUAGGGAAUCUUCCGCAAUGGGCGAAAGCCUGACGGAGCAAAGCCGCGUGAGAGAUGAAGGUCUUCGGAUCGUAAAACUCUGUUAUUAGGGAAGAACAAACGUGUAAGUAACUGUGCACGUCUUGACGGUACCUAAUCAGAAAGCCACGGCUAACUACGUG